RNAcentral lists this small nucleolar RNA (136 nucleotides) under Carlito syrichta (Philippine tarsier). The record is from RNAcentral. Lineage: Eukaryota; Metazoa; Chordata; Mammalia; Primates; Tarsiidae.
CCCCUUUUUAAAGCAUUUGAUGGGCCUUUUGCUAAUGACCCAUUGAACUGGCAAGAAAGGGCAGAAUAAAAACGCUGCUUCUGGGUGAGGUGGCAGCAUGUUGUGUUGUUUUACUCCAUUCAGUGUUGUGGCGAUA